RNAcentral lists this ribosomal RNA (305 nucleotides) under uncultured bacterium. RNAcentral describes it as "bacterial SSU rRNA". It matches the Rfam family "Bacterial small subunit ribosomal RNA", at positions 338 to 660 of the family's 1533-position model. The record is from RNAcentral.
CCUACGGGACGCAGCAGUGGGGGAUAUUGGACAAUGGGGGAAACCCUGAUCCAGCGAUGCCGCGUGAGGGAAGAAGGUUUUCGGAUUGUAAACCUCUGUGGAGGGGGACGAUAAUGACGGUACCUGACUAAGAAGCCCCGGCUAACUACGUGCCAGCAGCCGCGGUAAUACGUAGGGGGCAAGCGUUAUCCGGAUUUACUGGGUGUAAAGGGAGCGUAGACGGAGGAGCAAGUCUGAUGUGAAAAUCCGGGGCCCAACCCCGGAACUGCAUUGGAAACUGUUUAUCUAGAGUGUCGGAGAGGCAA